RNAcentral lists this transfer RNA (85 nucleotides) under Bacillota bacterium. RNAcentral's name for it is "tRNA-Leu". It matches the Rfam family "tRNA". Rfam says of the family: Transfer RNA (tRNA) molecules are approximately 80 nucleotides in length. Their secondary structure includes four short double-helical elements and three loops (D, anti-codon, and T loops). Further hydrogen bonds mediate the characteristic L-shaped molecular structure. tRNAs have two regions of fundamental functional importance: the anti-codon, which is responsible for specific mRNA codon recognition, and the 3' end, to which the tRNAs corresponding amino acid is attached (by aminoacyl-tRNA synthetases). tRNAs cope with the degeneracy of the genetic code in two manners: having more than one tRNA (with a specific anti-codon) for a particular amino acid; and 'wobble' base-pairing, i.e. permitting non-standard base-pairing at the 3rd anti-codon position. Lineage: Bacteria; Bacillati; Bacillota. The record is from RNAcentral.
GCCGAAGUGGCGGAAUCGGCAGACGCGCGCGACUCAAAAUCGCGUAUCUCCGGAUGUGUGGGUUCGACUCCCACCUUCGGCACCA